UACUAAUUAAUUCACUGAUUAUCACAUUAAGAUGUUUCUUCUUGGAGCUGGGUUCAUAGUUUCAUCAGAUUUUAAAAUGGGCCAAUGUCCAAUGCCCCUGGCCCACAAAAUUAAGAACCAGUGACUUACAUACAGAUAGCAGUAUAUCCUUUAUAAACUUAAGAAUACCUACACCCCCAGCAACCAUUUAUUUAAUAUAUUCCAGGAACUACUUCUUGAAAACCCGUAGUGCACUAAUAAUGAGUAGUCUGUUAUUUGUUUUAGCCAAAUGGUAAGAUUUGCUAAUGUUCCACCUUAAGUGCCUUUUCCAAAGACAUCCCUCUUCGCCUUAUAUGUUGAAUCAUCGAGUGUGGAUAUUUCAAUGAAAAUAUCAUUAAUUGACUUUUGUGAUGGUAAUAAAAUGCUGUGGCAUCUUUGCUGUGAAGUUAUUGUUUCCUCGGAUUCUUCUGACUUUGGCUCCUGAAAGGAAGGCCUAGAUCCAGCCCUGGUAGUAGUUCCUUUCUGAGGUCUCUCAGUCUCUUAAGACCCUGAGUUAGUUUGGCUGCCAUUCUCACUAACAAAAUGUGUAUCAGCCCCUAUCCCUGCCCCCCUUCAGAACACGGGUGUGGCCUAAAGGUAUUCCCUUAUUAGGGAAAUGUCAUGACUGCUGUCUUCUAGUAAAACUUGUAAAGAAAAAGAUUCCAGUUCAGUAUUUGCAGCAAGAAGCUUGAAUCCUGUUCUUUUUAUUGCAUUGUUACAUUGACUCAUUCUCCAUUUUGCUUUGGUUUUGUUUUGACUUGACUUUGGGGGUAAAGUCUUUCAC
This 802-nucleotide long non-coding RNA is filed under the name Homo sapiens (human). Its description in RNAcentral is "non-protein coding lnc-CYP7A1-5:1". Lineage: Eukaryota; Metazoa; Chordata; Mammalia; Primates; Hominidae. The record is from RNAcentral.